AUGCAAGUCGAACGGCAGCGCGGGCUUCGGCCUGGCGGCGAGUGGCGGACGGGUGAGUAAUGCAUCGGAACGUGCCCAGGAGUGGGGGAUAACGUAGCGAAAGUUACGCUAAUACCGCAUACGUACUGAGGUAGAAAGCGGGGGAUCGAAAGACCUCGCGCUCAUGGAGCGGCCGAUGUCGGAUUAGCUAGUUGGUGGGGUAAAGGCCCACCAAGGCGACGAUCCGUAGCUGGUCUGAGAGGACGACCAGCCACACUGGGACUGAGACACGGCCCAGACUCCUACGGGAGGCAGCAGUGGGGAAUCUUGGACAAUGGGGGAAACCCUGAUCCAGCAAUGCCGCGUGUGGGAUGAAGGCCCUCGGGUUGUAAACCACUUUUGGCAGGAAAGAAAUCGCCUGUGCUAAUACCACGGGCGGAUGACGGUACCUGCAGAAUAAGCACCGGCUAACUACGUGCCAGCAGCCGCGGUAAUACGUAGGGUGCGAGCGUUAAUCGGAAUUACUGGGCGUAAAGCGUGCGUAGGCGGUUUUGUAAGACAGAUGUGAAAUCCCCGGGCUCAACCUGGGAACUGCAUUUGUGACUGCAAGACUAGAGUGUGUCAGAGGGAGGUGGAAUUCCGCGUGUAGCAG
RNAcentral lists this ribosomal RNA (631 nucleotides) under uncultured Burkholderiales bacterium. RNAcentral's name for it is "bacterial SSU rRNA". It matches the Rfam family "Bacterial small subunit ribosomal RNA", at positions 55 to 681 of the family's 1533-position model. The record is from RNAcentral. Lineage: Bacteria; Pseudomonadati; Pseudomonadota; Betaproteobacteria; Burkholderiales.